This 253-nucleotide ribosomal RNA is filed under the name uncultured bacterium. RNAcentral describes it as "partial 16S ribosomal RNA". It matches the Rfam family "Bacterial small subunit ribosomal RNA", at positions 524 to 776 of the family's 1533-position model. RNAcentral also lists the same sequence under 1 other name. The record is from RNAcentral.
UACGGAGGGUGCAAGCGUUGUCCGGAUUUAUUGGGUUUAAAGGGUGCGUAGGUGGCCCUGCAAGUCCGUGGUGAAAGCCUGCCGCUUAACGGCAGAACUGCCAUGGAUACUACAGGGCUUGAGUCCAGACGAGGUUGGCGGAAUGGAUGGUGUAGCGGUGAAAUGCAUAGAUACCAUCCAGAACCCCGAUUGCGUAGGCAGCUGACUAGGCUGGUACUGACACUGAGGCACGAAAGCGUGGGGAGCGAACAGG